RNAcentral lists this ribosomal RNA (254 nucleotides) under uncultured bacterium. RNAcentral describes it as "partial 16S ribosomal RNA". It matches the Rfam family "Bacterial small subunit ribosomal RNA", at positions 524 to 776 of the family's 1533-position model. The record is from RNAcentral.
UACGGAGGUGGCGAGCGUUGUCCGAAGUUACUGGGCGUAAAGCGCGCGUAGGCGGGCUAUUAAGUGAGGGGGGAAAGGCUGAGGCUCAACCUCAUGUUGGUCCUCUCAUACUGAUAGUCUUGAGUGAGGCAGGGAGAAGUGGAAUGGCUGGUGUAGCGGUGAAAUGCGUAGAUAUCAGUCGGAACACCGGUGGCGAAGGCGGCUUCUUGGGCCUUAACUGACGCUGAGGCGCGAAAGCGUGGGGAGCAAACAGG